GGCCGGUUAGCACAAUUGGUAGUGUGUCUGACUACGAAUCAGGAGGUUGCGGGUUCGAGCCCCGUGCUGGUCA
RNAcentral lists this transfer RNA (73 nucleotides) under Malassezia sympodialis ATCC 42132. Its description in RNAcentral is "tRNA-Arg (ACG) (tRNA-Arg-ACG-1 1 to 3)". It matches the Rfam family "tRNA". Rfam says of the family: Transfer RNA (tRNA) molecules are approximately 80 nucleotides in length. The record is from RNAcentral. Lineage: Eukaryota; Fungi; Basidiomycota; Malasseziomycetes; Malasseziales; Malasseziaceae.